Molecule: long non-coding RNA, 711 nt
Filed under: Equus caballus (horse)
Lineage: Eukaryota; Metazoa; Chordata; Mammalia; Perissodactyla; Equidae
Description: lncRNA (ENSECAG00000043059.2)
Source: RNAcentral
AAGCACCUACCCAACCACUGUAAAAAUAGCUACUCAUGAUGAUGUCGGGCAUCGUGCUAAGUGCUUUAUGUAUAUUCUCUCAUUUCACAAAACGGCACCUCUAUAGGUUCACUUCCACACAUGGGAAACCAAAACUUGGAGAAGGGAACUUGUCUAAGCUGAUACAGGUAAUCCAGGUGCCAUCUUUCUUGACAGUCUGGAGGAACCAGCGAGCAGCUCCCAGCUCGGGUUCACACCGAGGAGGAAUGCCCUUCAUGCUCUUCAAGGAGCUCCUGCCCAUCUCUCCUUCCAAAGAACAUUGGAAGUUGCUUCAUCUCUCCACCCCGUCAAUGAGUUUUGGUCAGAGGGUAAAGACAGUGUUCCUUUUGGAACUCAUCCUGCCCUGCCAAGGAGGGAGAACCAGACGCUCUGUGUCUCUUGCUGAUGACACUGCUCCACGGGUUGUUGUGAAGAGUCAAGGAGGCAGUGGAAGGAAAAGUUCUGGAACACAUGGAAUGUGAUGACCCCCAGACAGAGAGCCUAUGCUGAUAGCCGUCAUCAGUGACAACUGGAAGAUCAGGGUAUAGGGCGUUGCUCCGGUCUCUGAUGCAUAGCCAGUAAAACAAGGGAUUAUCGGGAACUAAGACCAGAUGUCUGCCCCCACCUGGAGACCAGCUGCCUCCCCUACCUGGAAACCAGCCCCGUGUAUAACUGGCCUGUAGUCUUUGUUCU